Molecule: unclassified non-coding RNA, 735 nt
Filed under: Ustilago davisii
Lineage: Eukaryota; Fungi; Basidiomycota; Ustilaginomycetes; Ustilaginales; Ustilaginaceae
Description: sequence contains 18S rRNA gene, ITS1, 5.8S rRNA gene, ITS2, 28S rRNA gene
Rfam family: 5.8S ribosomal RNA (bases 252-406)
Source: RNAcentral
GUAUCUGUAGGUGAACCUGCAGAUGGAUCAUUUCGAUGAAAACCUUUUUUCUGAGGUGUGGCUCGCACCUGUCUAACUAAACUUGAGCUACCCAAUUUCAACACGGUUGCAUCGGUUGGCUGUCAAACAGUGCCUCGGCGCUGGGAGGCGGUCGACACACAACACAAACACUUUUGAUGAUCUAGGAUUUUGAAUGAAGUUCAUUUUUAUGAUGGAACCGACUGGUAAUGCGGUCGUCUAAAUCUAAAAACAACUUUUGGCAACGGAUCUCUUGGUUCUCCCAUCGAUGAAGAACGCAGCGAAUUGCGAUAAGUAAUGUGAAUUGCAGAAGUGAAUCAUCGAAUCUUUGAACGCACCUUGCGCUCCCGGCAGAUCUAAUCUGGGGAGCAUGCCUGUUUGAGGGCCGCGAAUUGUUUCGAACGACAGCUUUUUUCUUUGUGAAAAAGUUGGCGGAUCGGUAUUGAGGGUCUUGCCAUUUACCAUGGCUCCCUCGAAAUGCAUUAGCGCAUCCAUUUGAUAGGCAAGACGGACGAAAGCUCGAUUUUCGCCCUCUCUUCCCUGCCGGGUUUUGAUAAUAUCAGGACUUCGGAGGCGGAGAAAGGGUUAGAGCUGGACGCAACGUUUUGCUGUUUGGAGUGCUUCUGAAACCCGCCCAUGCCUCUUUCUUCGGAAAAGGAAGGGAUUUUUUCAAUUCAUCGGCCUCAGAUUGGUAGGACUACCCGCUGAACUUAAGCA